UAACUCAAACACAGCUGACUGACUGUUUGUAGCUGUUAGCUCUUAGCUUAGCAUAGCUAGCCCCUCCACUAGCUGUAUGCUAACUAGCAUCAUAGCAGGGAAAGUCACCGUUAGCAACAAGCUAACUCAGACGCACUAGGUGACUAUGUAAGUUGAGGCUUAAUUUAGAAUAACAAGUGGUGUCUUUUGGUAUGUUGGCUUGUUGUGAGUGAGUAGUUGUUAUCUGAGUGUCAGUACUUAGCUAGAGUUAGUGUUAUUAAAGUAAAACACAGUGUUAGCUAUGAAGCUAGCUAAGUUAACUAUUCUGCCGUGUCUCCCAGGAUGCAUUGCUCUGUGUGUGUGUGUGUGUGUGUGUGUGUGUGUGUGUGUGCGCGUGUGUGUGUGUGUUAAAGAUUUAACAACAGAACAAAACAGUUGGAGUGAUGCUUGGUCUCAGUGGAAGGAAACAGAACAGCCCUCCCCGGCUCACUGCUAUUAACUGUGUAACAUAGAACAAAAAGUGUAAAGGCCGUGUAGUUGUCCUGCACCGCCAUCAGAGGUCUCAGCUCUCGCGCUGCUCUGAGCUGUUGACACGGUGAAUUUAAUAUAGCCAUUAUGUGUGUAGGCUGCAGAGAAGCAUCACACUGAUGUUGACGGGAGGGGAAGUCUUCCCAGACUUUGUGGCACAAUGAUUUUCUUUGUUAUAUAUGUAAAUAUUCUCUGUCUCAUCCUUUUACUGUGUGUAUGUUUUAUAACUGUAAACACUCAUGACUUUACUCUGUAUUUAAAUUUGUUUAAAUUUUGACUGACAUAUGGUCAGUGCUAAGAAACUAUAUACAGAAUACCCAAUCAUUCAAAUGUAGUCUGGCAAUCCUAUUUACAUUUAGUGGCUUCUGUUUUUUUAAUUGUCUGGCAUUUUAAUCUGAUUCUGUUAAUUCUCUUUAUUGGAAGCAGCAGUGAGAGAGGUCAAAACACACAAAGUAAAUACACUUUAUACAGCCAAAAGUAUGAGGACACUAUAGGCCCACUAUGCACAAAGCCAGGUUCUUAAAGAAAUGGUUUUCCCAGUUUGGUGUGGAAGAACUUGACCGGCCCUCCCAUCCGAUGGGAUGAACUGGAACGCUGUUACUGUGUGCCAGACCUUAUCACCCAACAUCAGCGUUGGACCUCUAUUAUCUGAAUGCGAGCAAAUCAUCUGGAGCCUGAAACCAGAAGAGUGGAGGCUGUUACAGCAGCAGUUUAGUGCCCGUGGUUUUGAAUGAGCUGUUCAACCAUCACAUGUGGGUGCAAUGUUCAAAGAGUACUGCAUUUCACUCCUGUAUAUCAUUGUAGGACUCACGAUGGCCAGUUUAAAAAAAAAAAAAAGACCAAAAUCGAUGCAGCAGAACCAGAAAUAUCCUCUUUUUUUAUUC
This is a long non-coding RNA of Sebastes umbrosus (honeycomb rockfish), 1391 nucleotides long. RefSeq lists it as uncharacterized. The transcript has 2 exons. The record is from RefSeq and is a predicted model, not a curated record. Lineage: Eukaryota; Metazoa; Chordata; Actinopteri; Perciformes; Sebastidae.